CAUCACAAGCUUCCAUAAACAAUUCAUUGUCUAAACUCAUCAUAACGGUAACAUUAUCACUCGAUGAUUAAUAAUACAGAUGAUAAUAACGCGAAAGGUGCUUGCUUACGGCCCACUGCACGAACAUAAUUGGUACUCUUAGGGCAGCCCACUGUACGAACAUAAUGGGUACUCUUAGGGCAGAUUGACUCUCAGUCUCAGGGGAGAACAACAAAGGCGCAGAGUGAUUGAACCACAACCCACUUACAACAGUAGUCUCGACGAUAUAUUUCUUAUAUAAUAGCCCUCCGUAAGAAUGGUGUAGAUUGGUUGGACAACCGCACGGCGAAUAACGUUAUUCUUGAUAACAGAUAUGCCUCACAACGAGUGGUUCACCACAGGUUUAUUGAUUGAUAAUACAUUAUUGCUUUGCCAUUUUCUAAUACAACGCAUGGCCGACAAAAAUCCUAGACAAUGCGAGUAGUUCCACCGAGUCUUCUUUUAACUAAGUGUGAGAAACACUACUCUCACAGUCACUAUUCGUGUUUUAGUUAUUUUCAACUUGUCAGACAUUGGUUAUGAGUUACGAAGUGUGUGAAAAUAUCAUUAUCUCUCACAUUCUGUAACCUAUACUAAUGCAGUGAUAACAUAACCAUGACUGUUCUCGAAGAGUUUCAAGAAUAACGCAAAAUGGGGACAGCAAGAAUAACCCACUUUUUAAGAAUUCAGAUGAUGCUACUUAGUCAACCCAUAGGAAAGUUUCAUGAUGUACUUGAACUUUUACAAACAAGGGGAGGUUCCGUUUAAUGAGAAACACUGAGAAACCAUGCCAGUUCUCCAAGAGUUUCAAGAACCUAUCAAGUAACUGCUGUGGGGACCGAAGCAGCUAUGGAAGAGUUGUCUGAGGGAGGAACAAUAAUAAAGGACCUGAGGGUCAGGAACUCGAAACCAAGAAAAUAACAGGUUGUCCAUAAACACACAAAACGUGUGCCAGUUAAUUCCAGGAAUCUCGCACGUUAAGACAGUCGGCAGUGUUUGGAGUCUUACCUUAGCAUCAGGCACUGUACGAAAAGUACCUUGAUUGGAUAAAUGUCAUCCAGCUUGACAUCACCAAUUUGAAUUUAAAAUAUAAGACUUUCAGUCAGCAGUGAAGCUGCUCACUUAAGCUCUUGUUGAUGGGAGACGGGCUGAAACAGAUAUCCCUCACCUUGAGCAAAAGCAAAAGGCACAGGGAGGAAAAAGUAUCUAUUGCUUUUGGCACGAAGACUCCCAAAUUCUGUGAUGACGACGACAAGGUCUGUAUCGUCAUGGAAUUACAGUAUGCAUCCCACGCGCUCGUCUUCCUGUCAGCCUACUACAAACGCAAAUUGUUGCUUAGUCUUUUCAACAUUGCCACCCUCCCUCCAACUUCUAGUUGAUGGCGCCUCUGCCUGGGUAUGGAUUAAUCCAACUGACAACUGUACUAGAAUAAUAAACAAGACAAGAAAUUCUCAAAUUUGGAUCGGUGAGACUCCGUGAACACCAAUAUGAAAGGAACAAAUCACAACCAUCUUAAGCUUCACUUUUUGAAGAGGAUCGGGUAGAAAUAUCAAGAGGAAUUGUUAUUCAGUUAAAAACAAGCUCAAAACAGUAGUGCCUUCAUCCGGAUGGUGGCUUCAUCGGUCAUCCUGAAGUGAUGGUUGAUAGUGACAUGAGUUAAACAAAGGCUUCCGAAAUGACCGACAGUACUACCCACGGCAAGAGGAGAAAUAGAGAUCAUAUGUUUUCUGACUUGAAUGCUUCUACGAUGACACAGAAACCAGAGCUUUUUCUAAAGAAAGAUUCCCCAGAAUAACUGAAGUCAAAUUUUUAUACGAGACAUGGAAAGGAAAUCUUCGAAAAAUCCAUAUUCUUAUCGGAGCCGACUAAUGAAAGCGUAUCUGCGAACUUCGAAAACGUGUCCCAUGACGACGAUGUCCGUCUUUCAAGUGAGAGUGCCAACUUUACCUGAAGGAAGACAAGAAACAAUAAGGUAAG
Molecule: long non-coding RNA, 1995 nt
Organism: Macrobrachium nipponense
Lineage: Eukaryota; Metazoa; Arthropoda; Malacostraca; Decapoda; Palaemonidae
Exons: 7
Source: RefSeq, a predicted model, not a curated record